CAGCCGCCGCGGUAAAACGUAGGGUGCAAGCGUUAAUCGGAAUUACUGGGCGUAAAGCGUGCGCAGGCGGUUUGUUAAGACAGAUGUUAAAUCCCCGGGCUCAACCUGGGAACUGCAUUUGUGACUGGCAAGCUAGAGUCUGGCAGGGGGGGGUGGAAUUCCGCGUGUAGCAGUGAAAUGCGUAGAUAUGCGGAGGAACACCGAUGGCGAAGGCAGCCCCCUGGGCCAACACUGACGCUCAUGCACGAAAGCGUGGGGAGCAAACAGGAUUAGAUACCCGCGUAGUCCCUGUCUCUUAUAC
Molecule: ribosomal RNA, 301 nt
Filed under: uncultured bacterium
Lineage: Bacteria
Description: partial 16S ribosomal RNA
Rfam family: Bacterial small subunit ribosomal RNA
Source: RNAcentral